This 1504-nucleotide ribosomal RNA is filed under the name Streptococcus suis. RNAcentral's name for it is "bacterial SSU rRNA". It matches the Rfam family "Bacterial small subunit ribosomal RNA". Lineage: Bacteria; Bacillati; Bacillota; Bacilli; Lactobacillales; Streptococcaceae. The record is from RNAcentral.
GACGAACGCUGGCGGCGUGCCUAAUACAUGCAAGUAGAACGCUGAAGUCUGGUGCUUGCACUAGACGGAUGAGUUGCGAACGGGUGAGUAACGCGUAGGUAACCUGCCUCAUAGCGGGGGAUAACUAUUGGAAACGAUAGCUAAUACCGCAUAACAGUAUUUACUGCAUGGUAGAUACUUGAAAGGAGCAAUUGCUUCACUAUGAGAUGGACCUGCGUUGUAUUAGCUAGUUGGUGAGGUAACGGCUCACCAAGGCAUCGAUACAUAGCCGACCUGAGAGGGUGAUCGGCCACACUGGGACUGAGACACGGCCCAGACUCCUACGGGAGGCAGCAGUAGGGAAUCUUCGGCAAUGGGGGCAACCCUGACCGAGCAACGCCGCGUGAGUGAAGAAGGUUUUCGGAUCGUAAAGCUCUGUUGUAAGAGAAGAACUGUGAGAAGAGUGGAAAGUUUCUCACUUGACGGUAUCUUACCAGAAAGGGACGGCUAACUACGUGCCAGCAGCCGCGGUAAUACGUAGGUCCCGAGCGUUGUCCGGAUUUAUUGGGCGUAAAGCGAGCGCAGGCGGUUUGAUAAGUCUGAAGUAAAAGGCUGUGGCUUAACCAUAGUACGCUUUGGAAACUGUCAAACUUGAGUGCAGAAGGGGAGAGUGGAAUUCCAUGUGUAGCGGUGAAAUGCGUAGAUAUAUGGAGGAACACCGGUGGCGAAAGCGGCUCUCUGGUCUGUAACUGACGCUGAGGCUCGAAAGCGUGGGGAGCGAACAGGAUUAGAUACCCUGGUAGUCCACGCCGUAAACGAUGAGUGCUAGGUGUUGGGUCCUUUCCGGGACUCAGUGCCGCAGCUAACGCAUUAAGCACUCCGCCUGGGGAGUACGACCGCAAGGUUGAAACUCAAAGGAAUUGACGGGGGCCCGCACAAGCGGUGGAGCAUGUGGUUUAAUUCGAAGCAACGCGAAGAACCUUACCAGGUCUUGACAUCCCGAUGACCACCCUAGAGAUAGGGUUUCUCUUCGGAGCAUCGGUGACAGGUGGUGCAUGGUUGUCGUCAGCUCGUGUCGUGAGAUGUUGGGUUAAGUCCCGCAACGAGCGCAACCCCUAUUGUUAGUUGCCAUCAUUCAGUUGGGCACUCUAGCGAGACUGCCGGUAAUAAACCGGAGGAAGGUGGGGAUGACGUCAAAUCAUCAUGCCCCUUAUGACCUGGGCUACACACGUGCUACAAUGGCUGGUACAACGAGUCGCAAGUCGGUGACGGCAAGCUAAUCUCUUAAAGCCAGUCUCAGUUCGGAUUGUAGGCUGCAACUCGCCUACAUGAAGUCGGAAUCGCUAGUAAUCGCGGAUCAGCACGCCGCGGUGAAUACGUUCCCGGGCCUUGUACACACCGCCCGUCACACCACGAGAGUUUGUAACACCCGAAGUCGGUGAGGUAACCUUUUAGGAGCCAGCCGCCUAAGGUGGGAUAGAUGAUUGGGGUGAAGUCGUAACAAGGUAGCCGUAUCGGAAGGUGC